Molecule: RNA transcript, 2530 nt
Organism: Oncorhynchus nerka (sockeye salmon)
Lineage: Eukaryota; Metazoa; Chordata; Actinopteri; Salmoniformes; Salmonidae
Exons: 4
Source: RefSeq, a predicted model, not a curated record
UGACACUACAUGACAUUAGGCAAGAAAACAAACCCAGAGGAAUGAUCCAUGUUAUCGUAUAAUUGAGAUGAGACACUCUCUGGCUCAGAAAUGUGCAAGACCUAAACACAGCUUGAGGUUAGAUCAAGUGCAUUAAAUCUGUAUGAGUAAACCACUCACAGGAAAAGAGAGGCAGGAAGUCAUAAACAGAGAAGACUGUGAUUUUAAAAGCUUUAACAAGAUGAUGAAACAACAGAGAAAAACAGAGGUCAUUUUUGUCUGGGUCUUAGCCAUCUGGCUCUCUUCAGUUGUCAACAGUGAAAAGAAUUUGGCAGUACGUCCAACUGGCCUCACAACCGCAGACCAUGUGUAAACACGCCAGACCAGGACCUUCACAUCUGGCUUCUUCACCUGCGGGAUCGUCUGAGACCAGCCACGUGAACAGCUGAUGAAACUGCGGGUUUGAACAACCAAAGAAUUUCUGCACAAACUGUCAGAAACCAUGUCAGGGAAGCUCAUCUGCGUGCUUGUCGUCCUCACCAGGGUCUUGACCUGACUGCAGUUUGGCGUCGUAACCAACUUCAGUGGGCAAAUGCUCACCUUCGAACACGGUGUCCACUCUCUCUGGUCAGUCUCACCAGAGGAAAGGAAGGAGAGAGCUGGGACCGUGAGAGGUGGUUGGGACAAGUCUUUUGAGCGGUCAUCCAGCUUGGAAUUCCAAGUCGGAAAACUCGGGCAUCUUUCUAGAGCUCCGACUUUUCGACCUGGAGAUCACUGACGUCGUGAUGCAGGUACCACCAGUCCAGUAAAAUAAAAAACAAAUUAUUUGCCUCACAAGUGCUAAACCAAUUGAUCUAUUUUGUUAUCAAAGCUCGAGUUCGAAAUAUAAUAUGGUCUUUGGCAGGCCAAUCAUAUAGCCAAUAUGCUGUGAUAAUGUAUUAGUCCUACGGCCCAAACCUUAGUCCUACGGCAAUACAUCUCUGCUUUCUUUUUGACUGCCAAAGUGAUCUUGACUCAGAAAAGGUUGGUGACCACUGCUCUGGAUGGAGGUGUACGACAGCGUGUUCCCGCCAAUAUCCAGCAACUUCGCACAGCCAUUGAAGAGGAGUGGGGCAACAUUCCACAGGCCACAAUCAACAGUCUGAUCAACUCUAUGCAUGAGCCAAAUGGUGGUCACACCAGAUACUGAAUGUUUUUUUGAUCUACGCCCCUACUUUUUAUUUGAUUUUUUAUCUGUGACCGACAGAUACAUAUCUGUAUUGCCAGUCAUGUGAAAUCCAUAGAUUAGGGUAUAAUGCUUUUAUUUAAAUUGACUGAUUUCCUUAUAUGAACUGUAAAUCAGCAAAAUCCUUUAAAGUGUUGCAUUUGAUUUAUUUUUGGUCAGUGUAAAUAGUGUGUGUAAGCAUGGAAAGCUUCCUAUACCUGGCGAUAUAACAGUUUCCUCUUUAUCCAUUCAUUCACAGGUAAAGUGGAGCUGAGAACCAGUACUGAGGUAAAGGCUCAGUGUGAUCAGAAUGUGUCCCUGCAGUGUGACAUCAUGUCAUCGAACCCACUCAAGAUCAUUCUCUUUUCCUGGGUAUGGAAAAUGAAACAGCUGUGUGUGGUCAAUGCCACUGGUGUAUUCUCCUUUCCUGGCGUCCGGUGUGACAUCACAAACAACACCCUCACACUCAAUCUGACUCGGGUGAUGCCGUCCAGUCAGGGUAACUACACCUGCAAACUGCGCUCCAACCUAACGAUCACAGCUGCCAACACCACUGUGACAAUGCAAGAGUGCCUAAGGACAUCUGAGCACAAAGUGUUCCAGAAUGAGUCUCAGGUUGAGUGCCAGUUUUUUGGAGUUUACCCAGAAGGCACAGUACACUGGUUACUGGGCUCUGAGAAUAUAACAGAGUCCGCCAGCACCAAGAGCCAGCUGGAUGAAGAGGGGCUGUUUGAUAUAAGGAGUACCCUGCCUACCCAGGCUGGGACUGAGCCUUACAACUGCUCCUUGUGGAUACCUAGUAGUGGAACCUACAGCUCUCACAAACAGCUGCACUACUCCAGAAUGAUCUCUUCAGGGACAAAGACUAGGAGCAGACUGCUGUUGGUCUUCAUCCUGGUUGGACUCAUAAUCAUAACAUAGGACUACUCAUGGAAAUGUCAGGAGGUUUUUUACUGAACAUGGGACUUCGAACUACAGUAGGGAAAAGGGCUUUCCUGGUCAGGGCACAUCUACACAGGAUGGAUCAGGGCCUUUCUCUUACUGAGUGAAGAGAAAGCAAACCUGGACUGCCAUGGCCAAAGUGGAUAUAUGUUUUCACUUUUUAUACUGGGAAGCAAAAUAUCAAAGUAAUUACAAUGAAUACAAUUGAAUUUUAAACUGAAAAUCAGUCUACAUUGGGAUUUGAGAAUACUGUAAGAAGUGUUCAUUGUUUGUCUUCAACGUUAUACACUUGUUUAAAUUGCAUUGCUUAUUACAGUAGUAGAAUACUGCUUCCUGGUGGUGAAAGUGUUUACUGAUGGAAAUAGUAUUGCUGUUAGAUGCGUAAUAAAGACAUUCUAAAUUGUA